RNAcentral lists this transfer RNA (71 nucleotides) under Campellolebias dorsimaculatus. RNAcentral's name for it is "tRNA-Gln". It matches the Rfam family "tRNA". Rfam says of the family: Transfer RNA (tRNA) molecules are approximately 80 nucleotides in length. Their secondary structure includes four short double-helical elements and three loops (D, anti-codon, and T loops). Further hydrogen bonds mediate the characteristic L-shaped molecular structure. tRNAs have two regions of fundamental functional importance: the anti-codon, which is responsible for specific mRNA codon recognition, and the 3' end, to which the tRNAs corresponding amino acid is attached (by aminoacyl-tRNA synthetases). tRNAs cope with the degeneracy of the genetic code in two manners: having more than one tRNA (with a specific anti-codon) for a particular amino acid; and 'wobble' base-pairing, i.e. permitting non-standard base-pairing at the 3rd anti-codon position. The record is from RNAcentral. Lineage: Eukaryota; Metazoa; Chordata; Actinopteri; Cyprinodontiformes; Rivulidae.
UAGAAGGUAGUGUAAGGGAAGCACUAGGAGUUUUGAUCUCCUCAGGAUGGGUUCAAACCCCAUUUUUCUAA